AGAGUUUGAUCCUGGCUCAGGACGAACGCUGGCGGCGUGCCUAACACAUGCAAGUCGAACGGAGAAUUUCAAGAAGUUUACUUUGAGAAAUUUUUAGUGGCGGACGGGUGAGUAACGCGUGGGUAACCUACCCAUAAACCCGGGACAACCCUUGGAAACGAGGGCUAAUACCGGAUAAUCUUUGGUCUUGGCAUCAAGACUAAAGGAAAGGUGGCCUCUGAAAAUGCUACCGAUUAUGGAUGGACCCGCGUCUGAUUAGCUAGUUGGUGGGGUAAAGGCCUACCAAGGCGACGAUCAGUAGCCGGCCUGAGAGGGUGAACGGCCACACUGGGACUGAGACACGGCCCAGACUCCUACGGGAGGCAGCAGUGGGGAAUCUUCCGCAAUGGACGAAAGUCUGACGGAGCAACGCCGCGUGUAUGAUGAAGGUCUUCGGAUUGUAAAGUACUGUCUUUGGGGAAGAAUGACUGAUUUGAAAAUAUUGAGUCAGUAUGACGGUACCCAAGGAGGAAGCCCCGGCUAACUACGUGCCAGCAGCCGCGGUAAUACGUAGGGGGCAAGCGUUGUCCGGAAUUAUUGGGCGUAAAGGGCGCGUAGGCGGAUAGUUAAGUCCGGUGUGAAAGAUCAGGGCUCAACCCUGAGAGUGCAUCGGAAACUGGUUAUCUUGAGGACAGGAGAGGAAAGUGGAAUUCCUAGUGUAGCGGUGAAAUGCGUAGAUAUUAGGAGGAACACCAGUGGCGAAGGCGACUUUCUGGACUGUAACUGACGCUGAGGCGCGAAAGCGUGGGGAGCAAACAGGAUUAGAUACCCUGGUAGUCCACGCUGUAAACGAUGAGUGCUAGGUGUAGAGGGUAUCGACCCCUUCUGUGCCGCAGUUAACACAAUAAGCACUCCGCCUGG
RNAcentral lists this ribosomal RNA (900 nucleotides) under uncultured bacterium. RNAcentral's name for it is "bacterial SSU rRNA". It matches the Rfam family "Bacterial small subunit ribosomal RNA", at positions 9 to 873 of the family's 1533-position model. The record is from RNAcentral.